Molecule: ribosomal RNA, 253 nt
Filed under: uncultured bacterium
Lineage: Bacteria
Description: partial 16S ribosomal RNA
Rfam family: Bacterial small subunit ribosomal RNA
Source: RNAcentral
UACGUAGGGUCCGAGCGUUGUCCGGAAUUAUUGGGCGUAAAGGGCUCGUAGGCGGUGUGUCGCGUCGGGAGUGAAAACCCAGGGCUUAACUCUGGGCUGGCUUCUGAUACGGGCAUACUGGAGGUAUGCAGGGGAGAACGGAAUUCCUGGUGUAGCGGUGAAAUGCGCAGAUAUCAGGAGGAACACCGGUGGCGAAGGCGGUUCUCUGGGCAUGACCUGACGCUGAGGAGCGAAAGUGUGGGGAGCGAACAGG